CGAGCGAUUGUUAACGGGUAGCAAUAUCGGUUAACGAGAGCGGGCAAGGGUGCGUAACACGUGGGCAAUCUGCCGUGAAGUUUGGGAUAAUCCCGCGAAAGCGGGACUAAUACCGGAUGUGACAGACUGGUGGCAUCACUGGUUUGUCAAAGUUGGGGACCGCAAGGCCUGACGCUUCAUGAUGAGCCCGCGGCCUAUCAGGUAGUUGGCGGGGUAACGGCCCACCAAGCCUAAGACGGGUAGCUGGUCUGAGAGGACGACCAGCCACACUGGAACUGAGACACGGUCCAGACACCUACGGGUGGCAGCAGUCGAGAAUCUUUCACAAUGGGGGAAACCCUGAUGGAGCGACGCCGCGUGGGGGAUGAAUGGCUUCGGCUUUUUUACCCCUGUCAUUUGCGAGCAAAGCGCAUUAUUUAAAAGAUGAUGUGUUGAUCGUAGCGGAAGAGGAAGGGACGGCUAACUCUGUGCCAGCAGCCGCGGUAAUACAGAGGUCCCGAGCGUUGUUCGGAUUCACUGGGCGUCAAUUGUCAGUAGGUGGGUGAGGUGUGUCGGAUGUGAAAUCUCGGAGCUCAACUCCCGAAAACUGCAUUGGAAAACUACCUUGCUGGGAGGGUUGGAGGGGGGACUGGAUACUUGGUGGUAGCAGUGAAAUGCGUAGAUAUCAAGUGGAACACAGUGGCGAAAGGCGAGUCCCUGGACAACUCCCUGACAUUGAGGCCCAAAAGCUAGGGGAGCAAACAGGGAUUAGGA
Molecule: ribosomal RNA, 753 nt
Filed under: uncultured Verrucomicrobiota bacterium
Lineage: Bacteria; Pseudomonadati; Verrucomicrobiota
Description: bacterial SSU rRNA
Rfam family: Bacterial small subunit ribosomal RNA
Source: RNAcentral